GCAGGCAGAUCACAAAGUCAGGAGUUUGAGAUCAGCCUAGGCAAUAUGGCGAAACCCUGUCUGUACUAAAAAUAUAAACAAUUACCCAGGCAUGGUAAUCUCAUCUACUCGGGAGUCUGAGGCAAGAGAAUUGCUUGAACCUGAGAGGCGGAUGUUACGGUGAGCCAAGAUCAUGCCAUUGCACUCCAGCCUGGGCAACAGAAGCAAAACUCCAUCUCAAAAAAAAAAAAAAAAGAUAAUUUAACAGUGGAUAUAUGUCAUCAUAUAUUUGUCCUAACUCAAAGAAUAUACAGC
RNAcentral lists this long non-coding RNA (294 nucleotides) under Callithrix jacchus (white-tufted-ear marmoset). RNAcentral describes it as "lncRNA (ENSCJAG00000080946.1)". The record is from RNAcentral. Lineage: Eukaryota; Metazoa; Chordata; Mammalia; Primates; Cebidae.